This 410-nucleotide ribosomal RNA is filed under the name uncultured Methylocystaceae bacterium. Its description in RNAcentral is "bacterial SSU rRNA". It matches the Rfam family "Bacterial small subunit ribosomal RNA", at positions 355 to 775 of the family's 1533-position model. The record is from RNAcentral. Lineage: Bacteria; Pseudomonadati; Pseudomonadota; Alphaproteobacteria; Hyphomicrobiales; Methylocystaceae.
UAGGGAAUAUUGGACAAUGGGCGAAAGCCUGAUCCAGCCAUGCCGCGUGAGUGAUGAAGGCCUUAGGGUUGUAAAGCUCUUUCGCCAGGGACGAUAAUGACGGUACCUGGAUAAGAAGCCCCGGCUGAACUUCAGUGCCAGCCAGCCGCGGGUAAAUACGAAAGGGGCGUAGCGUUGUUCGGAAUUACUGGGCGUAAAGCGUAUGCAGGCGGAUCGCUAAGUCAGGGGUGAAAUCCCGAGGCUCAACCUCGGAACUGCCUUUGAUACUGACGAUCUUGAGUCCGGGAGAGGUGAGUGGAACUGCGAGUGUAGAGGUGAAAUUCGUAGAUAUUUCGCAAGAACACCAGUGGCGAAGGCGGCUCACUGGCCCGGUACUGACGCUGAGAUACGAAAGCGUGGGGAGCAAAACA